GACGAACGCUGGCGGCGUGCUUAACACAUGCAAGUCGAACGGUAAGGCCCUUCGGGGUACACGAGUGGCGAACGGGUGAGUAACACGUGGGUGAUCUGCCCUGCACUUCGGGAUAAGCCUGGGAAACUGGGUCUAAUACCGGAUAGGACCACUGCCUGCAUGGGUGGUGGUGGAAAGCUUUUGCGGUGUGGGAUGGGCCCGCGGCCUAUCAGCUUGUUGGUGGGGUGAUGGCCUACCAAGGCGACGACGGGUAGCCGGCCUGAGAGGGUGACCGGCCACACUGGGACUGAGAUACGGCCGAGACGCCUACGGGAGGCAGCAGUGGGGAAUAUUGCACAAUGGGCGCAAGCCUGAUGCAGCGACGCCGCGUGAGGGAUGACGGCAUUCGGGUUGUAAACCUCUUUCAGCACCGACGAAGCGCAAGUGACGGUAGGUGCAGAAGAAGGACCGGCCAACUACGUGCCAGCAGCCGCCGUAA
Molecule: ribosomal RNA, 478 nt
Filed under: uncultured bacterium
Lineage: Bacteria
Description: partial 16S ribosomal RNA
Rfam family: Bacterial small subunit ribosomal RNA
Source: RNAcentral